CCUACGGGUGACUGCAGUGAGGAAUAUUGGUCAAUGGGCGCGAGCCUGAACCAGCCAAGUAGCGUGAAGGAUGACUGCCCUACGGGUUGUAAACUUCUUUUAUAAAGGAAUAAAGUGAGGCCCGUGUGCCUUUUUGUAUGUACUUUAUGACUAAGGAUCGGCUAACUCCGUGCCAGCAGCCGCGGUAAUACGGAGGAUCCGAGCGUUAUCCGGAUUUAUUGUGUUUAAAGGGAGCGUAGAUGGGUUGUUAAGUCAGUUGUGAAAGUUUGCGGCUCAACCGUAAAAUUGCAAUUGAUACUGGCAGUCUUGAGUACAGUUGAGGUAGGCGGAAUUCGUGGUGUAGCGGUGAAAGGCUUAGAUAUCACGAAGAACUCCGAUUGCGAAGGCAGCUUACUAAACUGCCACUGACAUUGAUGCUCGAAAGUGUGGGUAUCAAACAGGAUUAGAUACCCGGGUAGUC
This 460-nucleotide ribosomal RNA is filed under the name uncultured bacterium. RNAcentral's name for it is "partial 16S ribosomal RNA". It matches the Rfam family "Bacterial small subunit ribosomal RNA", at positions 338 to 795 of the family's 1533-position model. The record is from RNAcentral.